RNAcentral lists this unclassified non-coding RNA (661 nucleotides) under Hevea brasiliensis (rubber tree). The record is from RNAcentral. Lineage: Eukaryota; Viridiplantae; Streptophyta; Magnoliopsida; Malpighiales; Euphorbiaceae.
CUUGCAUCCUCUAGCUAAAUCAUCUCUCUGUAGUCUCUCUCUCGCUCUCUCUCUAUUAUUGUUUAUUCUCUUUGAUCUUCAGGAAUAUGGCUCAGGGAAGAGGCAGUGCAAUGGUNUCCUGUGGUUGUUGCUGCUCCAUUUUGAGAUGGGUAGUGCAGCAACUUACACUGUUGGAGGUUCUAGUGGUUGGACCUUCAAUGUUUCUGGCUGGCCUAAAGGAAAACGCUUUAGAGCUGGUGAUAUAAUUGUGUUCAACUAUAGUCCUUCAGCACACAAUGUGGUGGCAGUGGACAGGGUUGGAUACAAUUCAUGCAAAGCUCCAAAAGGUGCAAAAGUUUAUACAUCAGGGAAGGAUAGGAUCAAGCUUGUGAAGGGGCAAAACUUCUUCCUCUGCAGCUUUGUUGGGCACUGUCAGGCUGGAAUGAAAAUAGCCAUAACUGCCGUGUGAUUUAGCUGGAUAAUUAAUUAAGAUUUAGAUAUGGGAUUUUUAAUGUACUGUUAGGUUUUGGUGUUAAAAAUGUCACUGCUCUAAGUGUCUGUGCGGUGGUGUGGCUUGCUUUUGUGGGUGGGUUGGUGGCUAGCUAUGUGCAUAGGCUAGGCUGCCCAAUAAAAUAUGAAUAAUUAUUAUGAAAUAAAUAGGGGGAAAAAAGAAAAGUUUGGG